CACCCAAAUGUCUCCGAGAACUUCAUGUGGUACUCCAAUACCUGAUAAAGACUUAUGUAUGCAAAAUGCAACCUAAACAUGGCUAAAUCCUAGACUAUAUGAUCAAAAUGCACAUGGGUGAAUGGAUAAAACAAUGGAAAUAUGCAAGAUAUCAUGCGCCGAAGAUUACCACCUCCAUUGCAAUCUACUGGAACCGUAUACAUCCAUC
RNAcentral lists this long non-coding RNA (208 nucleotides) under Brassica napus (rape). RNAcentral's name for it is "long non-coding RNA (BNAP_LNC010566)". Lineage: Eukaryota; Viridiplantae; Streptophyta; Magnoliopsida; Brassicales; Brassicaceae. The record is from RNAcentral.